GCCUGAGUGGCUCAGUCGGUUGAGCACCCAACUUCGGCUCAGGUCAUGAUCUCACAGCUCGUGGGUUCGAGCCCCGCGUCGGGCU
RNAcentral lists this transfer RNA (85 nucleotides) under Felis catus (domestic cat). It matches the Rfam family "tRNA". From Rfam's summary of the family: Transfer RNA (tRNA) molecules are approximately 80 nucleotides in length. Their secondary structure includes four short double-helical elements and three loops (D, anti-codon, and T loops). Further hydrogen bonds mediate the characteristic L-shaped molecular structure. tRNAs have two regions of fundamental functional importance: the anti-codon, which is responsible for specific mRNA codon recognition, and the 3' end, to which the tRNAs corresponding amino acid is attached (by aminoacyl-tRNA synthetases). tRNAs cope with the degeneracy of the genetic code in two manners: having more than one tRNA (with a specific anti-codon) for a particular amino acid; and 'wobble' base-pairing, i.e. permitting non-standard base-pairing at the 3rd anti-codon position. Lineage: Eukaryota; Metazoa; Chordata; Mammalia; Carnivora; Felidae. The record is from Rfam by way of RNAcentral.